AGCGGAAGUGGGUCUCCGUGAGGCGGUGGAGUCCUGCCUGAGCGGGUCUCCUUAGCGGCUGGUGGCGGUGGUACGUCCUUGCUCGAGCGCUUCGACUGUGGCGUCUGCCUGAUCGCACCAACUCCAGGACUUGGAAAUAUUGGACAUCUAAUUGACUCCAGAUUGUAAGCCACAGAUGAGUACUCGGCGGGCGUGAGAGAUUGAGAACAUUCCACCUCCCCAUAAACCUUGGUGUAUAUCACUUGAUUUUCUGUGGAUUGAAGCCAGAGAGCACAAUGAGUACAAGAAAUCCUCAAAGAAAGCGGCGUGGUGGAACAGUAAGUUCUAGGCAAGCCCAGAAGCGAACUCGGGAAACAACUUCAACCCCUGAGAUUUCCUUGGAAACAGAACCCAUAGAACUCGUGGAAACUGCUGGUGAUGAAAUUGUGGACCUCACCUGUGAAUCCCUGGAGCCUGUGGUUGUGGACCUCACUCACAAUGACUCUGUUGUGGUAAGCAUUUGAGUAAGAGUUGGCUGGCUUGGGUAGGAAUCCCUGGCCCAUAUCUGCAUCUAAAGUCUGGGUUACUAACCAGGGUUAGAAAGAUUGAAAGGGGCUAGAGAGAUGGCUCAGAGGUUAAGGGCACUGGCUGCUUUUCCAGGGGACCUGUACCUACAUGGUAGCUCACAGCCAGCUGUAACUCCAGUUCCAAGAUACCAGUGCCCUCUUCUGGGCUCUGUUGGCAUCAGAUACACUGCAUGCAAACCACACAUACACAUCAAAUAAUUGUGAAGGGAAAGGAACCUAUAUUGAGUAACUGGAACCCCUAAUGAGAAAUGUGUCAGGAAGAGCCACCUGUUGUCGCUUUUGUCUCCUGUGGACUAUAUCUGCCUGAUUUUUGACCUUUCCAUAGCAGCAGUCCUGAUUUCAUAGUUUCAGAUGUGUAAGCUGGGCAUAGCCCUUUGAAAUGGGAUACUAGCUUUGCCAGGGUUGGUACUACAUUGUAUUAAGAGACACCUAUUUAGGUGCCUUGCCUUGCAUGAAGUGUAGUGCUUUGCAGUGCUUUACACCUCUGACCUGAAGGGAAUUGGGAAUAUUGACUGUGCUGCCAUUAGGUUUCCGAAAUAGUUGCCAGUAAACAUGGCUCCAGGGAAAGCAGCUAUCUAGUCUGCACCUGCUGCCACAGCUCUUUCCUGACUCCAGGGAGGGUAGAACUUGAGAGGCUGUGACUUCAUGUGUAGCCUGCCAGAACUAAAACCUAGUCUGGUCAGGAGUAUUAGAAAGUAAUUCUGAAAGACAUAUUCCAUGGUAUUGGAACACCCCUACACACACAUACACCCCAUUUCCAUGUGUCUUUUGGGAUCUGAUGAACUCAUUGAUGAGCAUCUUAAGGACAAGUUUGCUACUCACUUGUAAAACCUUUUGAUGACAGUAUGCCAGGACUGAAGCUGUGGAAUAGAGGUGUUGCCACCUUGGGUAGCAUUAGACAUGUGUUAGCAGUUGGAAUGCAGAAAGGACUGUAGACAUGGAACCGAGGUGUUAGUAAUCUAGUCUUCCACUUGUCUCAAAGGUUUGAAAUUCUGAGUGACUAGUAACAAGCUGCCACAACCAAGACAUAUCAGUGUUUUUUAAUUUGUUUAAAACUUUGAGAGUAAGAUUUUAUUGAGAAGCAAGACAAGCUGGGUAUGGCACACACCUUUAAUCCCAGCACUCCUGGAGGCAGAGGCAGGCUAAUCUUGUGAGUUCAAGGUCAGCCUGAUCUACAAAAAACAAAACAGUUCCAGAAUAGCUAGAGCUACACAACAACAAAAACAAGAUGAAGGGAUGGGUAACCAGGUAUUGUGGUGCAUGCCUGUGAUCUUUUUUGGUUUUUUUUUUGUUUUGUUUUUUUGUUUUUUUGUUUUUUCGAGACAGGGUUUCUCUGUGGUUUUGGAGCCUGUCCUGGAACUAGCUCUUGUAGACCAGGCUGGUCUCGAACUCACAGAGAUCCGCCUGUAUCUGCCUCCCAAAGCAUGCGCCACUACCGCCCGGCCCAUGCCUGUGAUCUUGAGCACUUGAAAGGCAGUGUUUCUGGGUUAUAUAGUUAAGCUUAGUCUCAAGGAGGGAAAAUGAAAUCAUGAUGGCAUGAAGCUGCCAGGGAAUAUCUACUCAGAGGCUUAAUAUUCCUUACAAAUGCUCAACUGAUAGCUCAGGCUUGUUACUAGCUCUUACACUUAACCCAUAUUUCUGUUUAUGCUUUACCUCAUUUUCUACAUGUCCUGCUUGCCCCCUGGCUGACUGGCAUCUCCAGCUCCACCCUUCUUCCUCCGGCUUUCUAGUUUGGCUCUCCUAACUUAAUCCUGCUCAGCUAUUAGCCAGUCAGCUUGUUUAUUAAACCAAUCACAGUGGCAAAUCUUGACAGUCUACAAAGGGAUUUUCCCACAGCAGUAUGGUUUUAGUUAGAAAUCACCAGAUUGUCCUGAUGUCAUCUCUGGUAUCCUCUCAAAGACUAUGGUGAAUUCAGGCACAUUGCCUCCCGUAUAACCAAUGGUGUUUCUGGAAAUGGGCCAGAACUGUUUGAGAAUUGUAAGUGGUCUCCUCUGCAUAAGUUGACUCUUGCUGUUAAUUCCUGUCAAUUUCAUGGAGUUCUAUAAAGAGGGUAAUUUAGUCCCUUAGCUAAAGUUACAUUCCAGUUUUUGACUAAUUCUGGAAAUUGGCACCAAAUGCUUUUUCUUCCUCUUUCCCCUAUCUCAAAGUAAUAGGAAUAGUUUAUUGAGGGAAAGCAUUCCUGAGGAAGGAAGUGGGUUAGCAAACAGGGAAAGGGCUCAGAAAGCCCCAAAUCCCUUUUCUUUAUUUUUUUAUUUUGGUUUUUCGGGAUAGGGUUUCUCUGUAGCUUUGGAGCCUGUCCUGGAAUUAGCUCUUUUUUUUGGUUUUGGUUUUUCGAGGCAGGAAAUUAGCUCUUAUAGACCAGGCUGGCCUCAAACUCACAGAAAUCCUCCUGCCUCUCCAAAUCCCUUUUUUUGAGAACUCAACAUCUACCCAUAAUGGACAUGACCAGGUCCUGACAAAGGAGCUGGAAGUCUGCCUCCAAGAAGACCCUGUUCUUCUGCUGGGUGGCAAGUCAAACCAUGCCUUUAUUCACGCGGCAGUGAGUAGAGUCCUUGAAUGAGCCUAGAAUAAGAAUCGUGGGAAUGAGGGAACUGUCCUGAUAGUGACUGAAUGAGCAGGAAUCCGUUAGAUAAAAGUCCAGUGAUAGUAUUGUGGAGACAGGAGGCUUGGGUUCUCGUGUCAGAAUUGCUAUUUGAAUUUUUGCUAUUACAGAAAUUACCUCAUGCUUGACCUAGCUAUUAAAAAGAAUUGUCUGAAUUUGGUAACUCCCAAUCACUCUCCAUGUGUUGUUGAUUGUAAUGAAUCAUCAAAGGCCAUUAAAUUAUUGGUAUUAACUAAAGACAUGAACAAGCAGUAUUUUUGAGAGUCAUACAAUAUUGAAAGCAAGAUGUGUGCAUUAUAGCAGUUAAAAGGUCAGAAUGUUUAUAACACUCCUCUCUCUUUCCCCCUUUUUCAGAUUGUUGAAGGUGAGUAGUUUCAUUUCCUUUUCUCCUGGGUUUAAAGGAAGUUAUGGUGAAUGAAUGCCAUAGCCCGCAGGCUUUGUCAGUCUGCCCUUCCAAGAUCUCUAGGCAGGAGGUUGCCUUUGGUCAAACCUGUUGGUUUUACUGAAAAUCUCUGCCCAUGAUUUCAGGGACUGAGCUUUCUCCUGAGAAGGCAAAUGAAUGGCCUCUGCCUCUGGGCAGGACCUUCUGAGGGUAUGGGGUAGAACUAGUAUGGUGAUGGUUU
RNA transcript from Chionomys nivalis (European snow vole), 3791 nucleotides. It is a transcript of the gene named ring finger protein 4, with no coding region annotated. Lineage: Eukaryota; Metazoa; Chordata; Mammalia; Rodentia; Cricetidae. The record is from RefSeq and is a predicted model, not a curated record. The transcript is spliced from 4 exons.